AGUAAUGUCUGGGAAACUGCCUGAUGGAGGGGGAUAACUACUGGAAACGGUAGCUAAUACCGCAUAGCGUCUUCGGACCAAAGUGGGGGACCUUCGGGCCUCACGCCAUCGGAUGUGCCCAGAUGGGAUUAGCUAGUAGGUGGGGUAAUGGCUCACCUAGGCGACGAUCCCUAGCUGGUCUGAGAGGAUGACCAGCCACACUGGAACUGAGACACGGUCCAG
RNAcentral lists this ribosomal RNA (222 nucleotides) under uncultured bacterium. Its description in RNAcentral is "partial 16S ribosomal RNA". It matches the Rfam family "Bacterial small subunit ribosomal RNA", at positions 109 to 334 of the family's 1533-position model. The record is from RNAcentral.